UACGAAGGGGGCUAGCGUUGCUCGGAAUUACUGGGCGUAAAGCGCACGUAGGCGGCUUUCUAAGUCGGGGGUGAAAUCCUGGAGCUCAACUCCAGAACUGCCCUUCGAUACUGGAGAGCUUGAGUCCGGGAGAGGUGAGUGGAACUGCGAGUGUAGAGGUGAAAUUCGUAGAUAUUCGCAAGAACACCAGUGGCGAAGGCGCUCACUGGCCCGGUACUGACGCUGAGGUGGCGAAAAGCGUGGGGAG
RNAcentral lists this ribosomal RNA (247 nucleotides) under uncultured bacterium. RNAcentral's name for it is "partial 16S ribosomal RNA". It matches the Rfam family "Bacterial small subunit ribosomal RNA", at positions 524 to 768 of the family's 1533-position model. The record is from RNAcentral.